GACGAACGCUGGCGGCGUGCUUAACACAUGCAAGUCGAGCGGUAAGGCCCUUUCGGGGGUACACGAGCGGCGAACGGGUGAGUAACACGUGGGUGACCUGCCUUUAGCUCUGGGAUAAGCCUGGGAAACUGGGUCUAAUACCGGAUAUGACCCUAUGGCGCAUGUUGUGGGGUGGAAAGCCUUGUGCGGCUAGGGAUGGGCCCGCGGCCUAUCAGCUUGUUGGUGGGGUGAUGGCCACCAAGGCGACGACGGGUAGCCGGCCUGAGAGGGCGACCGGCCACACUGGGACUGAGACACGGCCCAGACUCCUACGGGAGGCAGCAGUGGGGAAUCUUGCGCAAUGGGCGAAAGCCUGACGCAGCGACGCCGCGUGA
This 374-nucleotide ribosomal RNA is filed under the name uncultured bacterium. RNAcentral describes it as "bacterial SSU rRNA". It matches the Rfam family "Bacterial small subunit ribosomal RNA", at positions 28 to 404 of the family's 1533-position model. The record is from RNAcentral.